RNAcentral lists this ribosomal RNA (253 nucleotides) under uncultured bacterium. RNAcentral describes it as "partial 16S ribosomal RNA". It matches the Rfam family "Bacterial small subunit ribosomal RNA", at positions 524 to 776 of the family's 1533-position model. The record is from RNAcentral.
CACGUAGGGCGCGAGCGUUGUCCGGAAUUAUUGGGCGUAAAGAGCUCGUAGGCGGCCUGUUGCGUCCGCUGUGAAAGCCCGGGGCUUAACCCCGGGUCUGCAGUGGAUACGGGCAGGCUAGAGGUAGGUAGGGGAGAAUGGAAUUCCCGGUGUAGCGGCGAAAUGCGCAGAUAUCGGGAGGAACACCGGUGGCGAAGGCGGUUCUCUGGGCCUUACCUGACGCUGAGGAGCGAAAGCGUGGGGAGCGAACAGG